GAAAUGCGAUAAGUAAUGUGAAUUGCAGAAUUCAGUGAAUCAUCGAAUCUUUGAACGCAUCUUGCGCUCCUUGGUAUUCCUUGGAGCAUGCCUGUUUGAGUAUCAUGAAAUCUUCAAAGUAAAUCUUUUGUUAACUCAAUUGGUUUCUACUUUGGUAUUGGAGGUCUUUGCAGCUUCACACCUGCUCCUCUUUGUUCAUUAGCUGGAUCUCAGUGUUAUGCUUGGUUCCACUCGGCGUGAUAAGUUAUCUAUCGCUGAGGACACUGUAAAAGGUGGCCAAGGUAAAUGCAGAUGAACCGCUUCUAAUAGUCCAUUGACUUGGACAAUACUUUUAUGAUCUGAUCUCAAAUCAGGUAGGACUACCCGCCGAACUUAAGC
RNAcentral lists this unclassified non-coding RNA (378 nucleotides) under plant metagenome. RNAcentral's name for it is "partial contains 5.8S ribosomal RNA, internal transcribed spacer 2, and large subunit ribosomal RNA". The stretch from base 1 to 105 matches the Rfam family "5.8S ribosomal RNA", at positions 50 to 154 of the family's 154-position model. The record is from RNAcentral.